This 465-nucleotide ribosomal RNA is filed under the name Vreelandella stevensii. RNAcentral describes it as "partial 16S ribosomal RNA". It matches the Rfam family "Bacterial small subunit ribosomal RNA", at positions 338 to 795 of the family's 1533-position model. Lineage: Bacteria; Pseudomonadati; Pseudomonadota; Gammaproteobacteria; Oceanospirillales; Halomonadaceae. The record is from RNAcentral.
CCUACGGGCGGCAGCAGUGGGGAAUAUUGGACAAUGGGGGGAACCCUGAUCCAGCCAUGCCGCGUGUGUGAAGAAGGCCCUCGGUUUGUAAAGCACUUUCAGUGAGGAAGAACGCCUGGUGGUUAAUACCCAUCAGGAAAGACAUCACUCACAGAAGAAGCACCGGCUAACUCCGUGCCAGCAGCCGCGGUAAUACGGAGGGUGCGAGCGUUAAUCGGAAUUACUGGGCGUAAAGCGCGCGUAGGUGGCUUGAUAAGCCGGUUGUGAAAGCCCCGGGCUCAACCUGGGAACGGCAUCCGGAACUGUCAAGCUAGAGUGCAGGAGAGGAAGGUAGAAUUCCCGGUGUAGCGGUGAAAUGCGUAGAGAUCGGGAGGAAUACCAGUGGCGAAGGCGGCCUUCUGGACUGACACUGACACUGAGGUGCGAAAGCGUGGGUAGCAAACAGGAUUAGAUACCCUUGUAGUC